This 471-nucleotide ribosomal RNA is filed under the name Triticum aestivum (bread wheat). Its description in RNAcentral is "partial small subunit ribosomal RNA". Lineage: Eukaryota; Viridiplantae; Streptophyta; Magnoliopsida; Poales; Poaceae. The record is from RNAcentral.
AUGAUCAAAACAGAAAUUGGCUUUCCUCAAAAAUUUCUUUGGAAAAUUAAGGUGCCUGCUAAAAUAAAGGUCAUCCUUUGGCUACUAAACAAAAAAACCGUUUUAACCAGAGAUAACCUUUUAAAGAGGGGCUGGAAGAGAGAGAAAAAAUGCAUUUUUUGUGGGCAUGAUGAGACAAUUGAUCAUUUAUUCUUUUCCUGCUCGAUGGCUAAGUUGAUUUGGAAUCUGCUUAGAUGUUCUUUGGAUUUUCAUUCUAUACCUGCUAACUUGGAUAAAUAUUUUGGCAGAUGGGCUCGAACCUUUGCUAAAUCGAACAGGGGAUUGAUCGUUUGGGGGUUUCUGCAUUAUUAUGGGCUAUAUGGAAAUGUCGUAAUCUUUGAAAAAAAAAAUAAUGAUCCUUUGGGUGUGGUGAAACUGAUUUGCAAUUGGAUACAGAGAGAAGAAUCUUGCAGCUGGGGGCAAAGGUGGUAG